GCAUUAGUCUCCUGUGUGAUGAUUAUUUAAGCUCUAACACAUGCCACCUAAUAAUUGCCACUUUUUUCAGUUCCCUAAGAUUCACUUAUUAAUAAGCUAUUAAACAUCCUCUUGAAAUCAUUGCAUUGUAAUGGGCUGAGAUCAUUGCUCACACAGUGAUUGCAGUGCCCAAACUGGACCUACCAUCAUGAGUUUUACUCAGUGAUGCAAAGCUGAAGAACUUGAAGUCCAAGUUCCGCAUGCCCUGGGCAGCCACGAUGAGGUUCUUAAGGAAGGAACAGCAACCUGAAGGAAACAAAUUGCUUUUUAGGAAGAUUGCUUUGGAAUCAGAAGUAGGAAUAAAGCUACUUUAAUUGCAAACACUCUGUAGAAUUCGAAGUUUGAUUCAGGUUUGUUUUUUUCUCAUCUCUUUGUUGUUAAGAAGUUCAGCAUGGGAUGAAUUUCUCAGGAAGAGCUUCUUCAUCGUAGUCUGGCAUUGCCUGGUUUCUUCUGUCUUCACUGCUGGAUCAACUGGUUUGCAUCUCUGAUAUUUUCUACAGGUUGUGGUUUCGUUCAGAAGCGCUGCCUGUGAAGUUGUGCCAGACACCAGCAAGGGAGACUUUUCACUUAGGAGAGCACCUCAGGCUCUCUGCGUACCCUCAAGCUGCAGUUCCUGCUUCCCUGUUCCCUUCCAGUCUGUGACAUGCUGAUGUUCAAUAGCUGCCACAGGAACAGCCUCCUGGCAUUGAGACCCCAGUGAAAAGGGGAAGAGAAGGUUAUGGUAAUUCACACUAUCAGGGCCCUUUCCACUGUUUUCAGCAGCGCCCUGACAUCCCAAGAAGAGGGUCACAACCCAUAAAAAUG
This is a long non-coding RNA of Vidua chalybeata, 843 nucleotides long. RefSeq lists it as uncharacterized. The transcript is spliced from 2 exons. The record is from RefSeq and is a predicted model, not a curated record. Lineage: Eukaryota; Metazoa; Chordata; Aves; Passeriformes; Viduidae.